RNAcentral lists this ribosomal RNA (253 nucleotides) under uncultured bacterium. Its description in RNAcentral is "partial 16S ribosomal RNA". It matches the Rfam family "Bacterial small subunit ribosomal RNA", at positions 524 to 776 of the family's 1533-position model. The record is from RNAcentral.
UACGUAGGGGGCAAGCGUUGUCCGGAUUUAUUGGGCGUAAAGAGCGUGUAGGCGGCCAAGCAGGUCCGCUGUGAAAACUCGAGGCUCAACCUCGAGACGUCGGUGGAAACCGUUUGGCUAGAGUCCGGAAGAGGAGAGUGGAAUUCCCGGUGUAGCGGUGAAAUGCGCAGAUAUCGGGAAGAACACCCGUGGCGAAGGCAGGUCUCUGGGCCACUACUGACGCUGAGAAGCGAAAGCAUGGGGAGCGAACAGG